Molecule: microRNA precursor, 67 nt
Filed under: Pan troglodytes (chimpanzee)
Lineage: Eukaryota; Metazoa; Chordata; Mammalia; Primates; Hominidae
Description: microRNA ptr-mir-24 precursor (ptr-mir-24-1)
Gene: ptr-mir-24-1
Rfam family: mir-24 microRNA precursor family
About the family: This family represents the microRNA (miRNA) mir-24 family. miRNAs are transcribed as ~70nt precursors (modelled here) and subsequently processed by the Dicer enzyme to give a ~22nt product. In this case the mature sequence comes from the 3' arm of the precursor. The extents of the hairpin precursors are not generally known and are estimated based on hairpin prediction.
Source: miRBase by way of RNAcentral
UCCGGUGCCUACUGAGCUGAUAUCAGUUCUCAUUUUACACACUGGCUCAGUUCAGCAGGAACAGGAG